AGUCACUGACAUUAGAUACCCGUGUAGUCCAGGGUGUAAACGCUGCAGACUUGGUGUUGGAAGCCCUUUGGGGGCAUUCAGUGCCGGAGAGAAGUUGUUAAGUCUGCUACUUGGGGAGUACGUCCGCAAGGAUGAAACUUAAAGGAAUUGGCGGGGGAGCACCGCAACGGGAGGAGCGUGCGGUUUAAUUGGAUUCGACACCGUAAACUCACCAGGGAAGACUGUUAUAUGAAGGCCGAGAUGAAGACUCUGCUAGAUUUUCAG
This 264-nucleotide ribosomal RNA is filed under the name uncultured archaeon. RNAcentral's name for it is "partial 16S ribosomal RNA". It matches the Rfam family "Archaeal small subunit ribosomal RNA", at positions 717 to 982 of the family's 1478-position model. The record is from RNAcentral.